RNAcentral lists this ribosomal RNA (440 nucleotides) under uncultured bacterium. Its description in RNAcentral is "partial 16S ribosomal RNA". It matches the Rfam family "Bacterial small subunit ribosomal RNA", at positions 338 to 795 of the family's 1533-position model. The record is from RNAcentral.
CCUACGGGAGGCUGCAGUGGGGGAUAUUGCACAAUGGGGGGAACCCCGAUGCAGCGACGCCGCGUGGGUGAAGGAGCGUUUCGGCGCGUAAAGCCCUAUCGGCAGGGAAGAAGAUGACGGUACCUGACCAAGAAGCCCCGGCUAACUACGUGCCAGCAGCCGCGGUAAUACGUAGGGGGCAAGCGUUAUCCGGAUUUACUGGGAGCAAAGGGAGCGCAGACGGCUGUGCAAGUCUGGCGUGAAAGGCGGGGGCCCAACCCCCGGACUGCUCUGGAAACUGUAAAGCUGGAGUGCAGGAGAGGUAAGCAGAAUGCCUAGUGUAGCGGUGAAAUGCGUAGAUAUUAGGAGGAACACCAGUGGCGAAGGCGGCUUACUGGACUGCAACUGACGUUGAGGCUCGAAAGCGUGGGGAGCAAACAGGAUUAGAUACCCUUGUAGUC